Astatotilapia calliptera (eastern happy) is the source of this 10600-nucleotide long non-coding RNA. The record is from Ensembl. NCBI's taxonomy places the organism in Eukaryota, Metazoa, Chordata, Actinopteri, Cichliformes, Cichlidae.
ACACUACCUCAGAACUGCCGUCAAAGUGAACCAGCACAGGACUCUCAGAUGACCUGCUACACAGCUUUGUUUUUAAAUUUACAAGGCAAAAGAACAUGGAGAACAAAGACAGCAGGAUGACAACAGAAUGGAACUCAACAAUGGAAAACAGAAAGCAAUCAGAUAGCAAACAAACAAGAACUGACAUGAAAACCCAAAAAGAAACUUUAAAAAGACAAAGGCAACUGAUAUGUCAAGCAAUGGAGGAGAUCGAACAACUCUGGAGACAGACAGAAAGAAAGACAAAUGAAAUUGACUUCUUAAAGACAAAGACAGAGGGGCAACAGGAAGACAUUGAGAGACUGACAUCUGAAAAAAAUAAACAUCACCUACUAUUAAAGCAAUUUAACUUCCAAAUAAAAAAUAUAACUGAGAAACUCAAACAAAGCAAAAAUUCAGUUGCUAAGGAAAAAACAAACUUUCUGAAAACGUGGACUAAAAUAUAUCAAGAAAAGGAUACUCUGGACAGAAGACGUCAAUACUUCAUCAACGAGCGACACAAGCUAGACACUAUAAAAGCUAGUAAGACAGAAUCACCAAUAAGGGAGGAACCCAAAGAGCCCCUUAAUGAGCAGGUAAAGCGGGAACUGGAUAUACUGGAGAAUGCAACUGAGAAAAACAGGGAAAUAAUGCUUGAAGUAAAGAAAGUUAAAGAAAAAAUGGAGAAAACUAAAGCAAACAUACAGCAAGCAUUAAAAAGAAAUAAAAAGGACAUUUCAAAAAACAGUGAACAAAUUAACCACAUUAAACAUAUUAUGUAUGUAAAGAUCAACAUGGUCAAGCACAGAUGGGCAAGCAUUAUAAAACAGGCUGAAAUGAAGAAAAUUCACAUGUAUAAAGAAGGACAGAGAGAAAGAAACGAUGGAAAAGCCACAUUUGACACAGUGAAGAGAAAACUGUGUAGAAUCCAGGAAGAGAUGGAGAAACUUUGGGAUGUGCUGGAAGACAGUGAACAACAACUGGAAGUGACUCAAAGUGCAAAGCAGCAGCUAAUGGCAGAGAACAAUCACAUGAACAUCAAGAUGAAUAUUGAUUAUCAAAAGCAACAAGAUUCAGAUCUAAGCUUUAAAGUGACACACAUCCAGCCUGAAAGAGAUGAUUUAAAGAGAGUUGAAAUGAAACUAAAGACAGGAAGGGAAAAUGUAGAAAAAGACAAACCAAAUACUUACAUGCAGAAUUUGAUCUCUGAGGAAGAAGAAAACAAUGAAGUGCUUUGUAACAAGGGUGAAGAAACAAAGCAGAGCAUGAGGGACUUUACAGAAGUAAAGGCUCAAACGAAAUGGACAAAUUUUCGAGAAAAGCAAAAAAGAAGGGAGCUUGAGCGUUUGCUGGAGAAGAUAAGGAAAGAGAGGGAUGAGUUAGAAAUCAUGAAGACAAAAAUACAGCGACAAAAGGAAAGGGUUGAACAAAAACUGGAAAAUACUGUCACUGAGAUAAAAGGUAAAAUAGAAAAAACUGGUGCAGAAAUGAACAACACUUGGGAGAAAAUGCAGAGAACCCAAAGGGAGAUUAGUAAGAACCAGGAAGAAGCCAAGAACUAUAUGGAAAAACUGACAUCCAUGAAAACUUGGGUCAACAAAUGGAUAUUGGCACAAUCUACAAUCAAACAUACUUUUUCAGUGAACGCAUCCAAACUUCAAGAAUCACAGUAUGAAAUAGACACAGACUCCCUUGAGGAUCAAACAUCAGCAAUUCCAAAGGACAAAAAAGGGAAAAAAAGUAUAACAGAUACAACAUCAUUACAAAAUUCUGUAACAUUAGAUGAUCAGCAUCAAAAUAAAAAAAUAAAAGAACAACAGAAGGAGCAUUUUGAAUCCAAAUAUUGUUUUGCAGAAGGCAAAAAUGGGGAGCAGGACUUUUGCUUACAGAUGCGAACUGAAAUUCAUGAAGAAGUAGUGCAUGAUAAAACUGAAUUACUGAUAAUUGUAAGAGAAAGGGAAGAAGUGGAAAAACUGAUACGUAACCUAAAGCAGCAAGAGGGGGAAAUAAAGGAACAAAUAAAGUACACUAUUGAUAACAUGAACGAAAAAACUCAAGAUAUAAAAAGGCUCAUUUUGGAAAUAAAUGACCUGCAGAGGGCAGACACUGUAAUUACAGUCGGGGAAACUGAAAAUGCCCAGGAAGUAUUAACUAAGCUGUUGGAAGAAACUGAACAGAGAAAGAUUUUGAUGCUGAACACCAAAGUUUUCAAAAAUGAAAUAAUAAAAUAUGAAGUACAAGAGGGGGACGAUGCCAAAAAAAUAAAACAAGAGUCUAGCUUGAUAAGGCUUAAUGUUAACAAGCAAAAACUAAUUCAGAAAUCAGGAGAAGAGAUGAAAAAACAUGUUGAACACACCGAUGAAGAUAAAAAGGACAGAGGAGCCGAUAUACAAAGACUCAGGGCAGAGAUUUACAAAACACAAGAGAUUAUAAGAACGCUAAGAGGAGGACUUGAGAACCUAGCGGAAAAAAAUAACAUGGACAAAUAUCAACAGAAUGAAGGCAGUGAAAUUGAAGGAUUGCUAAAAGACAUCAAACAGUUUCAAGAGUUUUUGGAAAUUGUAAAAACCAAAAUAAAGCAAAGUGAAGUACAUAUGACAGAAGAAAUGAGCAAUAUAAAAUCAAUGAAAACUGCAGUGAAAAAGAAGAGAAGAGAAUUAGAUCAAAGAUUAGAAAAUACUUUGAAAGAGAGAGAUGGAUUAGACAUCUUUAAAAUAAAAAUGCAGAGGCAAACUGAACUGAUUCGGCAGAAUUUAGAAAAAAUGGCAAAAGUUAAGAGCACAGUCGAGAAAAUAGCUGCUAAGACCAGAAGGAAAAUUGAAGAGAUAGAAAUUAGUAUGAAGGAGACUGAAAUAAAACUAAGACAGUUUAAAGACCUUGACUGCAUUAACCUUAACUUGACAAAAGGCGCAAAACCAGACAUGGAACAUGGUAGUACACCUAAGCAAAGAACUGCUCUUGAAAUUUUCAAGACUGAAAUUAAGAAGACAAUGGACAAUAAAAGAGAUAAACUGACAAAAAACAAAAUGGACAAAGAAACUGAGGGAACAGAAAGCCUCAAACAAGUUAAUGAGAAACUGGAGGAGGUAAAACUUUCAUUAGACAGUCUGGGUCAAAAAAAUAAAAAAUCAGUUAGUGAGAAUGUAAAACAAAUAAUCAAGAGAGAAGAGACUGAGAUGACAGAACAGAUCCAAACAGCGAUAAAGAAUGAGAAAAUGGUUAAACAGCUAACUGAAACAGAAAUACAGGAGGAACAGGUGAACCAUUUGAGGGAGAAAACUGAAAGAAAAGAACAGGAGCUUGAUGACGGAGUACACAUGACCAAAAGGCAAAUAAGAGAAAUGGAGCUGCUGCAAUCAGAAUUGAAAAUAAAGGUAAAAGAAUUUGAGCGUUUUUUUAGAAAAAGUAUGAGAAAAAAGGAGGAAAUUGAAAUAAUGUGGUAUGAAAUACAACAAGAAAAGGAAGCAUUGAGGACCGAGAUCAAAAAGAAAAGAAGAGAAUUAGACCAAAGACUGGAGAUGACUAUGAGAAAAAGGGAUGAACUAGAAGUGUUAAGGGUAAAAUUGAAACGACAGAUGGAAGAGCUGGCUGAGGAGAAGCAGAGAGACCAUAAUCUGUUCAUCCAUCUACCCAAUGAACAUGAAAAACAUUUUGGAAGGAAAGAUGUGAAAAUGUUAAUGGAGAAAAUCAAAAACCACAGCUUAAAAGUUUCUCAGUAUACUAUUUACAUCCAAGACAUAAGAGACAAGUUUAAUUUACACAUGGGAACAAUUAGGACAGAGAUGAAAAUUCUAGAAAAUGUGAAUGCUCAUUUAGAAAAGGACAAAAAAGGAUUCAGAGAAGUUGAGGCUGAAAAUAAGAAUAUAACAAACAAAAUGAAGAGGUUAAAAUAUCAGCUUAAUAUACUCUUUGGAAGAGUUACCAUACAAGACACUGCAGAGAUGGAUGAAACAAUCAACAUCUGGGAAAAAAUCCAAAGAGAAAAACAGAAGCUUGAUAUGAGACUAGAAAAUAUUAAAAGGGAAAGACAAGAGAUAGAAGUUCUGGUGGUUGAGCUGGAGAUGAAGAAAAGAGAAAACCAACGUGUAAUCAAAAGAAGCAUUCAAAAAGAACAGAAGAUAAAAAGAAUAUGGGCUACUUUCAAAGAAGAAAGAACUGCCCUCGUGAGAGAAACAAAGCAGAAAAAGGAGGUUGAACAACGACGAGAGGAGAUCAUCAAACAUCAAGGUGAACAAGAAAUAAAGCAGAAGUUGCAAAAAGAAAAGAAAGGGAUGCAAAGUGAAAUUGAAGACAUGAGGAUGAAAGAAAAAAGGAAACAAAUUCAAAAACAAUGGGAACUAAUCAAGAAAUACUUAGGGGAAUAUAAAAAGGUAAUUAAAAACACUCAAUUCAUCAUUGGAAUAAUUCAGAAUGAAAAUAAACACAUGCAAGACCAAAAAAAUUUCUACAUGACCAAAAGGAAAGAAACACUGAAUAUUAAAAGUGAAUUAAAUAGGCAAAAGGAAAUUAUACGGUGUGCAUUAAAAAACAUACAACAAGAGCCAAAACAUGGGGAACAAGUGGAGACAAAAAUCAAGACGGAGCAAGGAAAGCAUGAAAAUGAAAGGGAAAAAAUAUAUGAGAUAGAAAAAGAUGCCUUGGAUGACUUAAGUGCAGACGAGAGUCAAGACAAAGAGGAUCUUGAAAGAGUGAAAGAGUUGUUGAAAAAGAACCAGAAACUUGACAUGAGAGGCUGUAAAAUCAAAAAAGAAAUAGACAUAUUAAAACAAAAAAAUGAAAACAUAAAAGAGGAAAGGAAAACAACUGAAAUAAAAGAAACUGAAAAAAAAAUGAAACUGAAAGAUUUCAAUAAAAUGUUUUGGGGCAAACAAAAAGAAAAACACAGUACUGAGUAUCUGACUGUAAAGAAAGAAUAUAAAAGAGAAACGACUAAGGAUGGUAUAAAAAGGGUGAUCUUACAAGACACAAAACAAGACUUGAUAAAAAAAGAGAUAAAAAAAUGUAACCAGGAAAAAGAAAAAGUCAUCCAGAUGAAAACUAGACGUGAGAAUAGAAAAGAACUGUUGUUGAAGGUAAGGAGAAACAUCAAAGAUGAAGAGAAAGAGAUGGAAAUGAGAGGAGACCAAGUCAUGGAUGAAAUGAAAUCGCUAGAGAUUCUGAAAGUGAAACUUCAACAACUGAAGGGGGAUAUAAAAGCCAAAAUGGAGAGAUUACUACAAAAUGUUGACAACAGGUCAAGGCUGCAAACAGUGUUGGAAGAAAAACUUCCAACCCAAGACGAACUGAAAGAAAGCAUUCGCUGUUUCACUGAAAUGUUAGAGAGAGAAAAGGAAGGUGUGAGAAGUAUCCUUUCAGACAUGGUCACCAAGAGAGAAUGCACAGAAAAUGAAUGGAAGCAGCAGUUUGAACUGGACAAACGAGAGCUUGAUAAAGUGAAAGAAGAUCUGAGACACGACAGAGAAGAUCUGGAGAGAGAAAGUGAGGUGCUGAAUAAAGAGAAAAUGGAUUUGAAGGUGUUGAUGUCUGACAUCAUGAAACAAUUUGAAAUAUUGGAAGAAAAGAAACAAAAUAUAAAAGAAGAACGAGACUCAAUGGAAACCAUAAAGCUUGAACUGCUCAAUAAGAUGGAACAUGUAAACAGGCUGUUACAUGAGACAAAUGACGAAAAAGCCAAGAUUAAAAAUUGUAUCCUUCAGGUUCAAAUGGAAAAAGAAAGACUUGAAGACAUUUUAAGCAAGAUUUUCUUAACACAUAAUGAAGAAAAAGUCAAGGAAUAUGGCCUCAGAAGACAAACAAAAGAAGUGGAAAUCAUGAAAAAGGAAUUACAGAGUGAAAGAGCAAAAGUGGAGAGUCUGAUGAGGAAUCUGAAGAAGAAGCAAGAAGAGCUUGAACGUGCAAAGGAAAUCAUGAGUGGAGAAAAAGAAGAGAUGAAAGAGAUGAAGACUGACAUUGCCAAAGAACGAGAACUGUUGUUGAAGGAAAGGAGAAAUAUGGAAGAAGAGCGGUCUGAGAUGGAAAUGAGAGGAGACCAAGUCAUGGAUGAAAUGAAAUUGCUAGAGAUUCUGAAAGUGAAACUUCAACAACUGAAGGAGGAUAUAAAAGCCAAAAUGGAGAGAUUACUACAAAAUGUUGACAACAGGUCAAGGCUGCAAACAGUGUUGGAAGAAAAACUUCCAACCCAAGACGAACUGAAAGAAAGCAUUCGCUGUUUCACUGAAAUGUUAGAGAGAGAAAAGGAAGGUGUGAGAAGUAUCCUUUCAGAAAUGGUCACCAAGAGAGAAAGCACAGAAAAUGAAUGGAAGCAGCAGGUUGAACUGGACAAACGAGAGCUUGAUGAAGUGAAAGAAGAUCUGAGACACGACAGAGAAGAUCUGGAGAGAGAAAGUGAGGUGCUGAAUAAAGAGAAAAUGGAUUUGAAGGUGUUGAUGUCUGACAUCAAGAAACAAUUUGAAAUAUUGGAAGAAAAGAAACAAAAUAUAAAAGAAGAACGAGACUCAAUGGAAACCAUAAAGCUUGAACUGCUCAAUAAGAUGGAACAUGUAAACAGGCUGUUACAUGAGACAAAUGACGAAAAAGCCAAGAUUAAAAAUUGUAUCCUUCAGGUUCAAACGGAAAAAGAAAGACUUGAAGACAUUUUAAGCAAGAUUUUCUUAACACAUAAUGAAGAAAAAGUCAAGGAAGAUGAACUCAGAAGUCAAACAAAAGAAGUGAAAAUCAUGAAAAAGGAAUUACAGAGUGAAAGAGCAAAAGUGGAGAGUCUGAUGAGGAAUCUGAAGAAGAAGCAAGAAGAGCUUGAACGUGCAAAGGGAAUCAUGAGUGAAGAAAAAGAAGAGAUGAAAGAGAUGAAGACUGACAUUGCCAAAGAACAAGAACUGUUGUUGAAGGAAAGGAGAAAUAUGGAAGAAGAGCGGUCUGAGAUGGAAAUGAGAGGAGACCAAGUCAUGGAUGAAAUGAAAUUGCUAGAGAUUCUGAAAGUGAAACUUCAACAACUGAAGGAGGAUAUAAAAGCCAAAAUGGAGAGAUUACUACAAAAUGUUGACAACAGGUCAAGGCUGCAAACAGUGUUGAAAGAAAAACUUCCAACCCAAGAUGAACUGAAAGAAAGCAUUCGCUGUUUCACUGAAAUGUUAGAGAGAGAAAAGGAAGGUGUGAGAAGUAUCCUUUCAGACAUGGUCACCAAGAGAGAAUGCACAGAAAAUGAAUGGAAGCAGCAGUUUGAACUGGACAAACGAGAGCUUGAUGAAGUGAAAGAAGAUCUGAGACACGACAGAGAAGAUCUGGAGAGAGAAAGUGAGGAGCUGAAUAGAGAGAAAAUGGAUUUGAAGGUGUUGAUGUCUGACAUCAAGAAACAAUUUGAAAUAUUGGAAGAAAAGAAACAAAAUAUAAAAGAAGAACGAGACUCAAUGGAAAUCAUAAAGCUUGAACUGCUCAAUAAGAUGGAACAUGUAAACAGGCUGUUACAUGAGACAAAUGAAGAAAAAGCCAAGAUUAAAAAUUGUAUCCUUCAGGUUCAAAUGGAAAAAGAAAGACUUGAAGACAUUUUAAGCAAGAUUUUCUUAACACAUAAUGAAGAAAAAGUCAAGGAAGAUGACCUCAGAAGACAAACAAAAGAAGUGGAAAUCAUGAAAAAGGAAUUACAGAGUGAAAGAGCAAAAGUGGAGAGUCUGAUGAGGAAUCUGAAGAAGAAGCAAGAAGAGCUUGAACGUGCAAAGGGAAUCAUGAGUGAAGAAAAAGAAGAGAUGAAAGAGAUGAAGACUGACAUUGCCAAAGAACAAGAACUGUUGUUGAAGGAAAGGAGAAAUGUGGAAGAACAGCAGUCUGGGAUGGAAAUGAGGGGAGACCAAGUCAUGGAUGAAAUGAAAUCACUAGAGAUUCUGAAAGUGAAACUAAUUGCGAGGAAAUCCCUGAAAGGUGAACUGUCUGAUGUACAACCCAGAGAGGACAUCCUCAGUAGUGUUACAAUCUCUACAAGAAACCUUAUAGGAAAACUAAAUAGACUGAUUCAUCAAGACUUGCCGACAUAUAUUAAGAGAGUAGAGGGGGAAAAUGAAAAAAUAUUACAAGUGAUCUCCACAUAUGAACAAAAUUGGGUCAGAAUUUAUAAGCAGAAAAUUAAAAUUACUGCAGAUUAUGACAAGAUACAACAACAAAAGAAACAUGUGUUUAAGACAACAUUUGACAAAGCAAUCCAAACUGAGGAUGUUGUAAAACAAUGCUUACAUGAGCAUCAGGAUGAAGAGACCAAUGAACAUGAAUUUAAGCAGAGGAUGAAGGAUGUUGCAGUUAAUCUUGAAGGAAGCAAAAGAUACUUGACACCUGACAAGGAAGGUCUGCUGUUAGUAGGAGAAGGUGAAGAAUUUGGAAAUGUCAAGAAAACAAAUCUUGCAACGUUGUCCAUCUUGUCAGCAGAGGAAGAUGACUUCACACAGAAGGGAAUUUUAAAAACUGAGUUUUUGAAACAAAUCUGGAAGGACACUAGAAUAGAACGAAAUGAAAUAAAUCAGAUGAAGCUCAGAGGUCAAGAAAUGAGAAACAAUAUGGAUAAAAGAGUAAAGGUGAUCAAUCAUUUUGUUAGGAGAUCAAUAUUUCAGAAAGAAAAGACAUCAGUUGAGAAAACAAGAAAAAUGUUGGAACAUGGGCAAAGUAAUACGUUUUUAUCUGUAAGUGGCAGGGAUGGAGAACACAAAUCACUUGAUGAAAAAUAUACCGAGCUCCAACAACUUAAGGUCCGCAUGCUUAGUGAGAUUGAGAAAUUCUACAUACAAAACAAAGCGUCUAAGACACUGACAACUAGCAACAAAGCUAAUCAAACAGUUCAACUAGAUUCUCCAAAUAUCUAUCAAGAGCAAAUAAAGGUAGAAGAAUCUGAAGCAGCACCAGAGAGAUCUCCUGGACUCCUCAGUCAGCUCAGACUUUCCUGUUAUCGCUGUUGCUCCCGUUAUUGUGCCUACUGCAAGCAAGGAUGUAUAAAGAAAAAAUGAGAGGCAAGAAAAGUGCUACAUAAAAAUCAGUCCAUUUACCUUUUGUUUUACUUUUUAGUUAUAUUAAUAUGUGUGUAUUUGGAAAAUGUGUUUUUCCCGUUAAUCAUAUUAACCUAACAACGUAAGAGUACCAGUCUGAUGUCAAUCAUCUAAUUUUUAAACAACUAGUUAUGUAAUGUAAAAGUAUUCCUUUAACAUGUUAUUUUUUUCACAAAUGCAAAAUAUUAAAGUUUAACAGAUAAUCUUAACAUUUCUAAUUACAUUUUUAUGCUGAUUUCUAAUUAAUCUUCUUUCAACAUAUUUAUUCUGUUGUCUUGUGUUAGAAUACAGAAGCACAAAGAAUACAGUAAAAUCAAAACUAACAAGAAUAUUUGAAAACUGUGACUCCAUAUAUAUUCAUAUUUAAAUGAAAGAAAAAUGCAUGUUUAACAUAAAUUUGAUCCCUAAAUAAAUCUUUUUCCAAAACCAUUCACAUCACUGCAAUAUUUUUCUUUUGGUAAAUUUCGAAUUAUAUAAGAACCCAAUUGUUUGAAACAUUAUUUAAAUUAAUUACACAGUUAAUUGUAAAUUGACAAAUUAAAUAUAAAACUCAUGCCAUCUAAUUAUCUUCAUUGGGGUAUAUCAUGUACACAUACAUAUAUAUAUAUAUAUAUUUAUAUGUCAUAUAUAAACCCUUUGUCACGGCUGCCGAGGCGAGCCGUGUGGUGUAGAAGGGAGAAAGGACCCAAAACGCAGGCAGUAGAUGAUAAUGCUAGUGAUGUUUUAUUUACACAGUGGUGAGAUGGCAAAACAGGCAAAGAAGGAAGACAAAACUAAAGACCUACACUGGGAAAGCUAAAUGACAAACCUGAGAGGGUUCCAGAAUGGGGGAGAGGCAGUGACGAACCGGCAACAGGCAGGAGAACAUCAAAGCUGACGGGACAGGGGAAACGUAAACUGAACACACUCACAUGAGAUAGAGACCUUCAGAAUAAAACAGGAAACUCACAGACACAGAACUGGACAAGACGCUGAACUAAACAGACAGAUUCACACACAGACAGUGUGACACCAUAGACAGACAGAACACAGAAGUGGAACCAGGGAAAGCACAGAACAGAAACCUAACAAAUGGCAAUUCGUAACAGAAUAUGUAUAAAUGAACAAAAGCAUAAAGAAACAUAAAACACUGAGUCGGCAGACUCAGGACCAUGACACCCUUUGCUACGGUAGUAUAGACCUGGAAAGUGUAGACAAAAUAAACAACACUUGAUUCUGUAACUUGCCUGAUUCUUCAAUACAAUUUUUAUUGUGUUUUUAGUGAAAUGAUUUUCUAUAUAAUAUUUAGAAAAUCCUUAUUAGAAUUCAGAAUCUUUUUUCAAAAGAUUUUAGAAAGUUCUUUCAAUCUUGGGAAAGAGGACCAAUAAGACAACAGGCCUAGUUAGAUCUUUAAAUGAACCCAGCUUCAUUUGUUGAUCUAUCCAACAAGGUUAUAAUGGUUGACACCCUAUCUGAAGCCGAGAUUCUAAUAAUUAAUCCUUUAGGUCAGUGGUUCUCAAACUUUUCACAAUGAGUACCACCGUAUAAAAUAUAUGGUUCUUAAAGUACCACCCUUAUGCCCG